CGCGAAUCGCCCUUCGGGGUGCCCAGGCGCGAAAACUUUACAAUGCUGGAAACAGCGAUAGGGGGACUUUGAGUGCCAGGAUACAAUUCUGGCUGUCGUGAUGCCUAAAAAGCAUUGCAUAGCAAGGGCCGGGCAAGACCGGUGCCAGCCGCCGCGGUAACACCGGCGGCUCGAGUGGUAACCGCUAUUAUUGGGUCUAAAGGGUCUGUAGCCGGCUGAAAAAGUCUCUUGGGAAAUCCGAUAGCUUAACUAUCGGGCUUCCAGGGGAUACUCUUCGGCUCGAGACCGGGAGAGGUGAGAGGUACUUCAUGGGUAGGGGUGAAAUCUUGUAAUCCUUGAAGGACCACCAGUGGCGAAGGCGUCUCACCAGAACGGAUCUGACGGCAAGGGACGAAAGCUAGGGGCACGAACCGGAUUAGAUACCCGGGUAGUCCUAGCCGUAAACGAUACUCGCUAGGUGUCGGCCACGGUGCGACCGUGGUCGGUGCCGUAGGGAAGCCGUGAAGCGAGCCACCUGGGAAGUACGGCCGCAAGGCUGAAACUUAAAGGAAUUGGCGGGGGAGCAC
This 566-nucleotide ribosomal RNA is filed under the name uncultured archaeon. RNAcentral's name for it is "bacterial SSU rRNA". It matches the Rfam family "Archaeal small subunit ribosomal RNA", at positions 312 to 879 of the family's 1478-position model. The record is from RNAcentral.